This 1348-nucleotide ribosomal RNA is filed under the name metagenome. RNAcentral describes it as "bacterial SSU rRNA". It matches the Rfam family "Bacterial small subunit ribosomal RNA", at positions 55 to 1393 of the family's 1533-position model. The record is from RNAcentral.
AUGCAAGUCGAGCGAGAAAGUGGUAGCAAUACCGCGAGUAAAGCGGUGAACUGGUGAGUAACAGGUGGGUAAUGUGCCCUGAAGUGGGGGAUAACAGGCGGAAACGCUUGCUAAUACCGCAUGUGGGUCCAAGGACUCCGGUCCGAGGAUUUAAAGCAGUAGUGCGCUUCAGGAUCAGCCCGCCCCCGAUUAGCUAGUUGGCGAGGUAAUGGCUCACCAAGGCUACGAUCGGUAGCUGGCCUGAGAGGGUGGUCAGCCACACUGGGACUGAGAUACGGCCCAGACUCCUACGGGGGGCAGCAGUCUAGAGGCUUCGGCAAUGGGGGGAACCCUGACCGAGCGAUGCCGCGUGCGGGAUUGAAGGCCUUCGGGUCGUAAACCGCUGUCAGGUGGGAAGAAUGUCCAUAUGGCGAAUAUGGAAGGGACGGUACCACCAGAGGAAGCCCCGGCUAACUCCGUGCCAGCAGCCGCGGUAAUACGGAGGGGGCAAGCGUUAUUCGGAUUUACUGGGCGUAAAGGGUGCGUAGGUGGCCGUGCAAGUCUGACGUGAAAUCUUCACCGCUCAACGGGAAGAGGUCGUUGGAAACUGCAUGGCUCGAGUGUGGUAGAGGCAAGCGGAAUUCCAGGUGUAGCGGUGGAAUGUGUAGAUAUCUGGAAGAACACCCGUGGCGAAGGCGGCUUGCUGGGCCAUCACUGACGCUGAGGCACGAAAGCGUGGGGAGCAAACGGGAUUAGAUACCCCGGUAGUCCACGCCGUAAACGGUGCACACUAGGUGUGGGAGGAGAUCGACCCCUCCUGUGCCGCAGUUAACACAUUAAGUGUGCCGCCUGGGGAGUACGGCCGCAAGGUUGAAACUCAAAGGAAUUGACGGGGGCCCGCACAAGCGGUGGAGGAUGUUGUUUAAUUCGACGCAACGCGAAGAACCUUACCUGGGCUUGAACUGCUAGUUAAACUCCUGGAAACAGGGGCUGCCGCAAGGCGAACUAGUAGAGGUGCUGCAUGGCUGUCGUCAGCUCGUGUCGUGAGAUGUUGGGUUAAGUCCCGCAACGAGCGCAACCCUUGUCGUUAGUUACCAGCGAGUCAUGUCGGGGACUCUAACGAGACUGCCGGUGAUAAUCCGGAGGAAGGUGGGGAUGACGUCAAGUCAUCAUGGCCCUUACGUCCAGGGCUACAAACGUCCUACAAUGGCCGGGACAACGGGUUGCGAGACCGCGAGGUUGAGCUAAUCCCUAAAACCCGGUCCCAGUUCAGAUUGGAGGCUGCAAUUCGCCUCCAUGAAGUUGGAAUCUCCAGUAAUCGCAGAUCACAUGCUGCGGUGAAUACGUUCCCGGGCCUUGUACACACCAC